UGAGGAAUAUUGCACAAUGGAGGAAACUCUGAUGCAGCAACGCCGCGUGGAGGAUGACGCAUUUCGGUGUGUAAACUCCUUUUAAGAGGGAAGAUAAUGACGGUACCUCUUGAAUAAGCACCGGCUAACUCCGUGCCAGCAGCCGCGGUAAUACGGAGGGUGCAAGCGUUACUCGGAAUCACUGGGCGUAAAGGGUGCGUAGGCUGGCUUCUAAGUCAGAUGUGAAAUCCAAUGGCUUAACCAUUGAACUGCAUUUGAAACUGGAAGACUAGAGACGAGAAGGGGCAGAUGUAAUUAAGGGUGUAGGGGUAAAGUCCGUAGAGAUCGCGAGGAAUAGCAAAAGGGAGGGCGAUCGGAUGGGAUGAGACUGACGCUGAGGCACGAAAGCGUGGGGAGC
This 397-nucleotide ribosomal RNA is filed under the name uncultured bacterium. Its description in RNAcentral is "bacterial SSU rRNA". It matches the Rfam family "Bacterial small subunit ribosomal RNA", at positions 355 to 769 of the family's 1533-position model. The record is from RNAcentral.